AGCCCGAUAGUGUAGGGGUCCAUCAUGUCGGGUUUUGAUCCCGGCGACCUCGGUUCGAAUCCGGGUCGGGCUA
RNAcentral lists this transfer RNA (73 nucleotides) under Methanobacteriota archaeon. RNAcentral's name for it is "Euryarchaeota archaeon tRNA-Gln". It matches the Rfam family "tRNA". Rfam says of the family: Transfer RNA (tRNA) molecules are approximately 80 nucleotides in length. Their secondary structure includes four short double-helical elements and three loops (D, anti-codon, and T loops). Lineage: Archaea; Methanobacteriati; Methanobacteriota. RNAcentral also lists the same sequence under 1 other name. The record is from RNAcentral.